GCAGCCGCGGUAAUACAGAGGUCUCAAGCGUUGUUCGGAAUCACUGGGCGUAAAGCGUACGUAGGCGGCUUGGUAAGCGGUGUGUGAAAGGCAGGGGCUCAACCUCUGGACUGCACAUGAUACUCCCAGGCUAGAGUAAUGGAGGGGAAACCGGAAUUCUCGGUGUAGCAGUGAAAUGCGUAGAUAUCGAGAGGAACACUCGUGGCGAAGGCGGGUUUCUGGACAUUAACUGACGCUGAGGUACGAAGGCUAGGGGAGCGAAAGGGAUUAGAUACCCGGUAGU
Molecule: ribosomal RNA, 283 nt
Filed under: Escherichia coli
Lineage: Bacteria; Pseudomonadati; Pseudomonadota; Gammaproteobacteria; Enterobacterales; Enterobacteriaceae
Description: partial 16S ribosomal RNA
Rfam family: Bacterial small subunit ribosomal RNA
Source: RNAcentral